AUGUUGGGUUAAGUCCCGCAACGAGCGCAACCCUUGAUCUUAGUUGCCAGCAUUYAGUUGGGCACUCUAAGGUGACUGCCGGUGACAAACCGGAGGAAGGUGGGGAUGACGUCAAAUCAUCAUGCCCCUUAUGACCUGGGCUACACACGUGCUACAAUGGACAGAACAAAGGGCUGCGAGACCGCAAGGUUUAGCCAAUCCCACAAAUCUGUUCUCAGUUCGGAUCGCAGUCUGCAACUCGACUGCGUGAAGCUGGAAUCGCUAGUAAUCGCGGAUCAGCAUGCCGCGGUGAAUACGUUCCCGGGCCUUGUACACACCGCCCGUCACACCACGAGAGUUUGCAACACCCGAAG
RNAcentral lists this ribosomal RNA (353 nucleotides) under Salmonella enterica subsp. enterica serovar Typhi. RNAcentral describes it as "bacterial SSU rRNA". The record is from RNAcentral. Lineage: Bacteria; Pseudomonadati; Pseudomonadota; Gammaproteobacteria; Enterobacterales; Enterobacteriaceae.